RNAcentral lists this ribosomal RNA (462 nucleotides) under uncultured bacterium. RNAcentral describes it as "bacterial SSU rRNA". It matches the Rfam family "Bacterial small subunit ribosomal RNA", at positions 28 to 488 of the family's 1533-position model. The record is from RNAcentral.
GAUGAACGCUGGCGGCGUGCUUAACACAUGCAAGUCGAACGAAACACCUUAUCUGAUUUUCUUCGGAACUGAAGAUUUGGUGAUUGAGUGGCGGACGGGUGAGUAACGCGUGGGUAACCUGCCCUGUACAGGGGGAUAACAGUCAGAAAUGACUGCUAAUACCGCAUAAGACCACAGCACCGCAUGGUGCAGGGGUAAAAACUCCGGUGGUACAGGAUGGACCCGCGUCUGAUUAGCUGGUUGGUGAGGUAACGGCUCACCAAGGCGACGAUCAGUAGCCGGCUUGAGAGAGUGAACGGCCACAUUGGGACUGAGACACGGCCCAAACUCCUACGGGAGGCAGCAGUGGGGAAUAUUGCACAAUGGGGGAAACCCUGAUGCAGCGACGCCGCGUGAGUGAAGAAGUAUCUCGGUAUGUAAAGCUCUAUCAGCAGGGAAGAAGAUGACGGUACCUGACUAAGA